AUUGAACGCUGGCGGCAGGCCUAACACAUGCAAGUCGAACGAGUGGCGGACGGGUGAGUAAUGUCUGGGAAACUGCCCGAUGGAGGGGGAUAACUACUGGAAACGGUAGCUAAUACCGCAUACCAUCGGAUGUGCCCACAUGGGAUUAGCUAGUAGGUGGGGUAACGGCUCACCUAGGCGACGAUCCCUAGCAGGCCUGAGAGGAUGACCAGCAACACUUGAACUGACACACGGUCCAGACUCCUACGGGAGGCAGCAGUGGAGACUAUUGCACAAGGGGCGCAAGCCUGAUGCAGCCAGGCCGCGUGUAUGAAGAAGGCCUUCGGGUUGUAAAGCACUUUCAGCGAGGAGGCGUUACUCGCAGAAGAAGCACCGGCUAACUCCGUGCCAGCAGCCGCGGUAAUUC
Molecule: ribosomal RNA, 406 nt
Filed under: uncultured bacterium
Lineage: Bacteria
Description: partial 16S ribosomal RNA
Rfam family: Bacterial small subunit ribosomal RNA
Source: RNAcentral